AGAUUGAACGCUAGCGGGAUGCUUUACACAUGCAAGUCGAACGGCAGCGCGGACUUCGGUCUGGCGGCGAGUGGCGAACGGGUGAGUAAUAUAUCGGAACGUGCCCAGUAGCGGGGGAUAACUACGCGAAAGCGUGGCUAAUACCGCAUACGCCCUACGGGGGAAAGGGGGGGAUCGCAAGACCUCUCACUAUUGGAGCGGCCGAUAUCAGAUUAGCUAGUUGGUGAGGUAAAGGCUCACCAAGGCGACGAUCUGUAGCUGGUUUGAGAGGACGACCAGCCGCACUGGGACUGAGACACGGCCCAGACUCCUACGGGAGGCAGCAGUGGGAAUUUGGACAAGUGGGGAAACCUGAUCCAGCCAUCCCGCGUGUGCGAUGAACGGUCCGUUCGGGUUCGUAA
RNAcentral lists this ribosomal RNA (401 nucleotides) under uncultured soil bacterium. Its description in RNAcentral is "bacterial SSU rRNA". It matches the Rfam family "Bacterial small subunit ribosomal RNA", at positions 26 to 428 of the family's 1533-position model. The record is from RNAcentral.